AGGGAAACCGAGUCUUAACUGGGCGUUAAGUUGCAGGGUAUAGACCCGAAACCCGGUGAUCUAGCCAUGGGCAGGUUGAAGGUUGGGUAACACUAACUGGAGGACCGAACCGACUAAUGUUGAAAAAUUAGCGGAUGACUUGUGGCUGGGGGUGAAAGGCCAAUCAAACCGGGAGAUAGCUGGUUCUCCCCGAAAGCUAUUUAGGUAGCGCCUCGUGAACUCAUCUUCGGGGGUAGAGCACUGUUUCGGCUAGGGGGUCAUCCCGACUUACCAACCCGAUGCAAACUGCGAAUACCGAAGAAUGUUAUCACGGGAGACACACGGCGGGUGCUAACGUCCGUCGUGAAGAGGGAAACAACCCAGACCGCCAGCUAAGGUCCCAAAGUCACAGUUAAGUGGGAAACGAUGUGGGAAGGCUCAGACAGCCAGGAUGUUGGCUUAGAAGCAGCCAUCAUUUAAAGAAAGCGUAAUAGCUCACUGGUCGAGUCGGCCUGCGCGGAAGAUGUAACGGGGCUAAACUGUGCACCGAAGCUGCGGCAGCGACGCUUAUGCGUUGUUGGGUAGGGGAGCGUUCUGUAAGCCUGCGAAGGUGUCCUGUGAGGGAUGCUGGAGGUAUCAGAAGUGCGAAUGCUGACAUAAGUAACGAUAAUGCGGGUGAAAAGCCCGCUCGCCGGAAGACCAAGGGUUCCUGUCCAACGUUAAUCGGGGCAGGGUGAGUCGACCCCUAAGGCGAGGCCGAAAGGCGUAGUCGAUGGGAAACGGGUUAAUAUUCCCGUACUUGGUGUUACUGCGAAGGGGGGACGGAGAAGGCUAUGUUGGCCGGGCGACGGUUGUCCCGGUUUAAGCGUGUAGGCU
This 855-nucleotide ribosomal RNA is filed under the name Salmonella enterica subsp. enterica serovar Kentucky. RNAcentral's name for it is "partial 23S ribosomal RNA". It matches the Rfam family "Bacterial large subunit ribosomal RNA", at positions 670 to 1526 of the family's 2925-position model. The record is from RNAcentral. Lineage: Bacteria; Pseudomonadati; Pseudomonadota; Gammaproteobacteria; Enterobacterales; Enterobacteriaceae.